GAUUGAACGCUGGCGGCAUGCUUUACACAUGCAAGUCGAACGGUAACAGGCCGCAAGGUGCUGACGAGUGGCGAACGGGUGAGUAAUGCAUCGGAACGUGCCCAGUCGUGGGGGAUAACGCAGCGAAAGCUGUGCUAAUACCGCAUACGAUCCAUGGAUGAAAGCGGGGGACCGAAAGGCCUCGCGCGAUUGGAGCGGCCGAUGUCAGAUUAGCUAGUUGGUGGGGUAAAGGCCCACCAAGGCGACGAUCUGUAGCUGGUCUGAGAGGACGACCAGCCACACUGGAACUGAGACACGGUCCAGACUCCUACGGGAGCAGCAGUGGGGAAUUUGGACAAGUGGGGGAAACCCUGA
Molecule: ribosomal RNA, 354 nt
Filed under: uncultured soil bacterium
Lineage: Bacteria
Description: bacterial SSU rRNA
Rfam family: Bacterial small subunit ribosomal RNA
Source: RNAcentral